RNAcentral lists this ribosomal RNA (484 nucleotides) under uncultured bacterium. Its description in RNAcentral is "partial 16S ribosomal RNA". It matches the Rfam family "Bacterial small subunit ribosomal RNA", at positions 29 to 523 of the family's 1533-position model. The record is from RNAcentral.
AGUGAACGCUGGCGGCGUGCUUAACACAUCCAAGUCGAACGAGAACGGAUUAUAGCUUGCUAUAAUUGUCAGCUAAGUGGCGCACGGGUGAGUAAUGUAUAGGUAAUAUGCCUCUUACUAAGGGAUAACAAAUGGAAACGUUUGCUAAUACCUUAUACUCCUUAUUAACAUAAGUUAAUAAGGGAAAGAUUUAUUGGUAAGAGAUUAGCCUGUAUUGUAUCAGUUAGUUGGUGGGGUAAUGGCUUACCAAGACUAUGACACAUAACUGGUUUGAGAGGAGGAUCAGUCACACUGGAACUGAGACACGGUCCAGACUCCUACGGGAGGCAGCAGUGGGGAAUAUUGCACAAUGGACGAAAGUCUGAUGCAGCAACGCCGCGUGGAGGAUGACACAUUUCGGUGCGUAAACUCCUUUUAUAUGAGAAGAUAAUGACGGUAUUAUAUGAAUAAGCACCGGCUAACUCCGUGCCAGCAGCCGCGGUAA